AGCGUAGACGGAUGGACAAGUCUGAUGUGAAAGGCUGGGGCUCAACCCCGGGACUGCAUUGGAAAUUGCCCGUCUUGAGUGCCGGAGAGGUAAGCGGAAUUCCUAGUGUAGCGGUGAAAUGCGUAGAUAUUAGGAGGAACACCAGUGGCGAAGGCGGCUUACUGGACGGUAACUGACGUUGAGGCUCGAAAGCGUGGGGAGCAAACA
RNAcentral lists this ribosomal RNA (207 nucleotides) under uncultured bacterium. Its description in RNAcentral is "partial 16S ribosomal RNA". It matches the Rfam family "Bacterial small subunit ribosomal RNA", at positions 568 to 774 of the family's 1533-position model. The record is from RNAcentral.